Molecule: long non-coding RNA, 415 nt
Filed under: Homo sapiens (human)
Lineage: Eukaryota; Metazoa; Chordata; Mammalia; Primates; Hominidae
Description: non-protein coding lnc-COL4A2-4:1
Source: RNAcentral
GCGGUCUCGACUGGUCAGGGGUUGCCUGAGGGUGCUAAUUCCCUCACACUCCCAGGUGCACCACACACCAGCAUGGCUGAGUGGGCUCCUGCCAGAUGCCAGGUGGAGGUGGUAGAGAACCAGGCAGAGCUGAGACACGGUGUGUCAGGCCACACCUGCUCAUGGCCAGUCACCACAGCAAUAGCUGUAGCAAAACAGUGGGCCCAGAGCGUGUGAGACGGGGAUCAAGAGACCAGAGCUCGCAACCACAGCAACUCUAGAAGCUGGGAAGCAACAAUUCAUUCUAGACUCCACCCCUACUGCCAAGGAGGCAACCGCAAAGUGUGCUGCAGUCCUGAAGACCCCUGCUCGACUUGAGGUAGGCUUGAUACCUUGUGUGUGGAUCACACCUCAGCGUCAGUGCCCAGUGUUAAAC